RNAcentral lists this ribosomal RNA (483 nucleotides) under uncultured bacterium. RNAcentral describes it as "bacterial SSU rRNA". It matches the Rfam family "Bacterial small subunit ribosomal RNA", at positions 340 to 837 of the family's 1533-position model. The record is from RNAcentral.
UACGGGAGGCAGCAGUGGGGAAUAUUGGCACAAUGGGCGCAAGCCUGAUCCAGCCAUGCCGCGUGAGUNAUGAAGGCCCUAGGGUUGUAAAGCUCUUUCACCGGUGAAGAUAAUGACGGUAACCGNAGAAGAAGCCCCGGCUAACUUCGUGCCAGCAGCCGCGGUAAUACGAAGGGGGCUAGCGUUGUUCGGAUUUACUGGGCGUAAAGCGCACGUAGGCGGACUUUUAAGUCAGGGGUGAAAUCCCGGGGCUCAACCCCGGAACUGCCUUUGAUACUGGAAGUCUUGAGUAUGGUAGAGGUGAGUGGAAUUCCGAGUGUAGAGGUGAAAUUCGUAGAUAUUCGGAGGAACACCAGUGGCGAAGGCGGCUCCCUGGACCAUUACUGACGCUGAGGUGCGAAAGCGUGGGGAGGCAAUACAGGAUUAGAUACCCUGGUAGUACCACGCCGUAAACGAUGAAUGUUAGCCGUNGGGGAGUUNACU